RNAcentral lists this unclassified non-coding RNA (270 nucleotides) under Hevea brasiliensis (rubber tree). Lineage: Eukaryota; Viridiplantae; Streptophyta; Magnoliopsida; Malpighiales; Euphorbiaceae. The record is from RNAcentral.
CUUACACGCAUUGCUCGUCCUUCUAGUUCCACUCCAUUAAGAGACUCGAGGGCAUUUUCCAUCUCUGAUCGGGUUGAGUAGCACACAAAACCAUAACCUCGCGACCUUCCGGUCUCCCCAUCGUAUAGAACUCUUGCUCCAACCACAUUUCCAUAUUCUNNNNNNAUUCUUGAAAAGCUUGUGUCAAACUUUCUGAUGUUACUGACCAGGAUAAAUUCCCAAUAAAAAGCUUGUGUUCUGUUUCUGGAUAUAAAGGUUCCUUCGGUUUAG